GACGAACGCUGGCGGCGUGCUUAACACAUGCAAGUCGAGCGGAAAGGCCCUUCGGGGUACUCGAGCGGCGAACGGGUGAGUAACACGUGAGUAACCUGCCCUGGACUUUGGGAUAACCCUCGGAAACGGGGGCUAAUACCGGAUACGACUGCCGAUCGCAGGAUCUGGUGGUGGUAAGUUUUUCGGUCUGGGAUGGGCUCGCGGCCUAUCAGCUUGUUGGUGGGGUGAUGGCCUACCAAGGCGACGACGGGUAGCCGGCCUGAGAGGGUGACCGGCCACACUGGGACUGAGACACGGCCCAGACUCCUACGGGAGGCAGCAGUGGGGAAUAUUGGACAAUGGGCGAAAGCCUGAUCCAGCAACGCCGCGUGAGGGAUGACGGCCUUCGGGUUGUAAACCUCUUUCACCUCUGACGAAGCGCAAGUGACGGUAAGGGGAGAAGAAGGACCGGCCAACUACGUGCCAGCCGCCGCCGUAA
Molecule: ribosomal RNA, 478 nt
Filed under: uncultured bacterium
Lineage: Bacteria
Description: partial 16S ribosomal RNA
Rfam family: Bacterial small subunit ribosomal RNA
Source: RNAcentral